Molecule: ribosomal RNA, 253 nt
Filed under: uncultured bacterium
Lineage: Bacteria
Description: partial 16S ribosomal RNA
Rfam family: Bacterial small subunit ribosomal RNA
Source: RNAcentral
UACGUAGGGGGCAAGCGUUGUCCGGAAUCAUUGGGCGUAAAGAGCGUGUAGGCGGCCCGAUAAGUCCGCUGUGAAAGUCCAGGGCUCAACCCUGGGAUGCCGGUGGAUACUGUCGGGCUCGAGUCCGGAAGAGGAGUGUGGAAUUCCUGGUGUAGCGGUGAAAUGCGUAGAGAUCAGGAGGAACACCCGUGGCGAAGGCGGCCCUCUGGCUCGACCCUGACGCUGAGGCGCGAAAGCGUGGGGAGCGAACGGG